UUCCACUCAUGACCUCUUUUUUGCUACGUGUCUUGAGCCACUGACCUAUACUGUUGGAAUUGUGGAA
Molecule: small nucleolar RNA, 67 nt
Organism: Cyprinus carpio carpio
Lineage: Eukaryota; Metazoa; Chordata; Actinopteri; Cypriniformes; Cyprinidae
Source: Ensembl